UGCCCACGGCUCCCCUGGUUGCAAG
RNAcentral lists this microRNA (25 nucleotides) under Eptesicus fuscus (big brown bat). Its description in RNAcentral is "efu-miR-9246a". Lineage: Eukaryota; Metazoa; Chordata; Mammalia; Chiroptera; Vespertilionidae. The record is from miRBase by way of RNAcentral.